GUUUUAAACACCCAAACCUACAACGGACAAAGGCAUAUGCACAAGCUUAACGAAAAGGGAUAAUCCAGCAGAAAUGUCUGAUUAACUUAUCUGAUUCUUUCUGUCCAUUUCCAAAAGAGUAUCCAUACAAUCAAAUGAAUAAUUCACUUCAACAACCCACUGUUUUCCUAUAGUGGGAAAAAUUGCCUAAAUCAUUUAUAAUUUUACAAGCCAAUGAAAAGUAGUUGCAGGACUAUAUCUUUAGAAGAUGUAAACAUGUAAAUUGUACUAUAGGGUUCCUACCCCUGUUAUAAGGGCCCGAAUCCUUUAUGGGUCUACAUGUCCAGCAAUAUCAUUGUCACUUGAUCCACUUUCUUCAUCACUGAUAUCCUCCUCGUCACUCUGCUCUUCAGCUGUGGAGUUCAUAAUAUCUUCCCUUUUGGCAUAUCGAUCACAGUACUCUUUCACUUUCUGAUCAUACUUUUCUCGAUCCUUCAUCAUCAAUGAUGCAGCAUCACCAUUGAGUGGAUCUGAAGGAUUAGGAUAAAGCAACAGCUGUGGUAGGAAAACCUCAAAAACAUUCAAAAGAUCAAACAUUGGACUCCAUGACUGGUUGAUGACAUCCAAGCAUACAGAACCAGAACUGCAAUCAACAAAAGAACAAAAGGUGAAGAUCAGCUGUAUCAUAGCAAAACUAAAAGGACAACGAUUAAUUCAUCAAACAAAUCAAUUGUAUUGUCAUUGCUAACCAAAGUUACACAGCAUGCAGCAAAAAUUUUCAACUUGCAAGACUAAAUAUCCGUUUCUGUAUGACUAACUGCCAGAUAUCUUAAUGGUGUUCAAGCUUCCGAGCAGAGGAUUUUGACUGUGUAUAAUAAGAAGAGUUUCAAAACUAUAAACUGCUUACAGCUCAUCAACAUUUGGAUGGAAUAUUUUGUUCACAAACCCAAUAGAAGGAGACUUGUAUGGAUAAGCAUCAGGAAGCUCAACCCGUAUUUUCCAGACCCCACCUUCAUAAAGGCUUUCUUUAGGACCAUGAAAUUCCACAUUAAAUUCAUUCAGCCCAUCAUUUAUUGUCUCCACAUUGUAAUCACUCAUCAUCAAUUUCAUGACAUCCAUUUCUCUCCUCUUGCUAGGAGAAGACAUUUUAUCCUUGCAAAAUUAUAAUUCUUGAGCCGUCUCUCACAAAGAUGUUGCAAUGCGAAAUGGUUAAAAAGAAAACUAAACCACCGGGAACCUACUUAAUGUCCAAAUAAGAAACGGGGGACCAGCAAAUAUUAGCUGCUCAAUUUUCCGAGAAAAACACAACAAUCCUUAUUGGAGCUGUGUUGGAUAUCUGAUCGUGGAAUGACGAGAACCAAGCAGAAAUUUGAGAAAAACGAAAAAGGAGAAAG
Molecule: unclassified non-coding RNA, 1373 nt
Filed under: Hevea brasiliensis (rubber tree)
Lineage: Eukaryota; Viridiplantae; Streptophyta; Magnoliopsida; Malpighiales; Euphorbiaceae
Source: RNAcentral